This 488-nucleotide ribosomal RNA is filed under the name uncultured bacterium. RNAcentral's name for it is "bacterial SSU rRNA". It matches the Rfam family "Bacterial small subunit ribosomal RNA", at positions 28 to 527 of the family's 1533-position model. The record is from RNAcentral.
GAUGAACGCUAGCGGCAGGCUUAAUACAUGCAAGUCAAGGGGGUAGCAAUACAACCGGCGCACGGGUGAGUAACGCGUACACAACAUACCAUAUACUGGAGUAUAGCUUUGGGAAACUGAAGGUAAUCCUCCAUAACAUUGCGAGAGGGCAUCUGAUUGCAAUUAAAGUUUUGGCGGUAUAUGAUUGGUGUGCGUUUGAUUAGCUACUUGGUAGGGUAACGGCCUACCAAGGCGACGAUCAAUAGCUGGCGUGAGAGCGCGACCAGCCACACUGGAACUGAGACACGGUCCAGACUCCUACGGGAGGCAGCAGUAGGGAAUAUUGGACAAUGGAGGAAACUCUGAUCCAGCCAUGCCGCGUGAUAGAUGAAGGCCCUCUGGGUUGUAAAUAUCUUUUAUCUGGGAAGAAACACUCCUAUUCUUAGGAACUUGACGGUACCAGAGGAAUAAGCACCGGCUAACUCCGUGCCAGCAGCCGCGGUAAAGUA